This is a non-coding RNA of Triticum urartu, 420 nucleotides long. The record is from RefSeq and is a predicted model, not a curated record. Lineage: Eukaryota; Viridiplantae; Streptophyta; Magnoliopsida; Poales; Poaceae.
GUAGACCCUUGCUUUCGUUGCUAAUAAUACACUCAUGCUCCACAACUAAUCUUCUACUUGAUCGCAAGCACGGUAGAGAUGAUUGAUAAACCACCAAACAAAAGGAAAAUUGGACAUUUGCUAGCAUUACAGUGUGAAGGAUGCUCUGCUGCUCCAAUGUGUCUUUUCUGUCAAAGCUUUCUUGUCAAAUAAGAACUCAAUUCACUGGAUGCAGGGAAGGAGAUGGAGGGUGACACAUAGCCAUGGAGAGGAGCAGCAGCUCAAGAUAUUUUGAGUAAAUUCAAGACAAAAGAUGUUCAAAGAAGCUCCAAGACAUUCUUAUAUAGCAAGUUAUGUAAUAAUAGCUGGGUUAUCUGGGAAUUUAAUGUAUCUUCUCUCUGUUUGUGAAUGAAAUAGUAAUUAUGUAUGUGAAUUAAUGUA